CCUUCUCUGUCUCUCCUUCCCUCCAUGGAGUAUCAAUCUAGUGAUCUCCUACUCAAUUCGUAAAGACAGGCUCUCCUCUCAAGAUGUCUAACCCGGAAGUCAGUCUUAACCUGAACGGAAAAACGCCCAUGUGACAGAGGAUUCCACUAGCUGGCAUAUCCACCUGAGUCAAGAGUCAGUGGGGUCAGGAGUGUCUCGAUCCCACAAUUUCCCUUUCCACUCUUCAUGGCUGUCACACCCUGAAGCUCAUCACUGGCAUUGUGAAGUCAUGUGGCAUUUUCUUGGGUGUUGUGUACGACGGGUCAGGAGACACUCCCUGGAGCAGCCAGCCACGGGACGCCCCAGGGCACCAGGGCAAACCGGAUUCUUUGGCACUGCUCUGAACAACAGCUUCUGCAUCUCAGUGUGGAAUGACCUCAGGUUUCAAGAUCACAGGGCCAUCUCCUCCCUGUCCCCAGCUCCUUCCUCUCUCAGAAUAAACUUGUUCUAAGUCAA
Molecule: long non-coding RNA, 495 nt
Organism: Rattus norvegicus (Norway rat)
Lineage: Eukaryota; Metazoa; Chordata; Mammalia; Rodentia; Muridae
Source: RefSeq, a predicted model, not a curated record